Molecule: ribosomal RNA, 574 nt
Filed under: Aureobasidium sp. YM24400
Lineage: Eukaryota; Fungi; Ascomycota; Dothideomycetes; Dothideales; Saccotheciaceae
Description: eukaryotic LSU rRNA
Rfam family: Eukaryotic large subunit ribosomal RNA
Source: RNAcentral
ACGGGAUUGCCUAGUACGGCGAGUGAAGCGGCAACAGCUCAAAUUUGAAAGCUAGCCUUCGGGUUCGCAUUGUAAUUUGUAGAGGAUGCUUUGGGUAAAACGCCAGUCUAAGUUCCUUGGAACAGGACGUCAUAGAGGGUGAGAAUCCCGUAUGUGACUGGAAAUGUUAACCUAUGUAAAGCUCCUUCGACGAGUCGAGUUGUUUGGGAAUGCAGCUCUAAAUGGGAGGUAAAUUUCUUCUAAAGCUAAAUAUUGGCGAGAGACCGAUAGCGCACAAGUAGAGUGAUCGAAAGAUGAAAAGCACUUUGGAAAGAGAGUUAAAAAGCACGUGAAAUUGUUGAAAGGGAAGCGCUUGCAAUCAGACUUGUUUAAACUGUUCGGCCGGUCUUCUGACCGGUUUACUCAGUUUGGACAGGCCAGCAUCAGUUUCGGCGGCCGGAUAAAGGCUCUGGGAAUGUGGCCUCCACUUCGGUGGAGGUGUUAUAGCCCAGUGUGUAAUACGGCCAGCCGGGACUGAGGUCCGCGCUUCGGCUAGGAUGCUGGCGUAAUGGUUGUAAGCGACCCGUCUUGACCA